CGCUGGCGGCGUGCUUAACACAUGCAAGUCGAACGGAACCUCGGGUUAGUGGCAAACGGGUGAGUAACGCGUAGGUAAUCUGCCGUAUGGAUGGGGACAACAGUUCGAAAGGACUGCUAAUACCGAAUGAAGUAUUGAUACCGCAUGGUGUUGAUAUUAAAGAUUUAUCGCCAUACGAGGAACCUGCGUCCGAUUAGGUAGUUGGUAAGGUAACGGCUUACCAAGCCGACGAUCGGUAACCGGUCUGAGAGGAUGAACGGUCACAUUGGAACUGAGACACGGUCCAGACUCCUACGGGAGGCAGCAGUGGGGAAUAUUCCACAAUGGAGGGAACUCUGAUGGAGCGACGCCGCGUGAGUGAAGAAGGGCUUCGGCUCGUAAAGCUCUUUUCUGAUUGACGAAUGAACUAUUGGAUGGUUAGAGACGGUAAAUUGGGAAUAAGCCACGGCUAACUACGUGCCAGCAGCCGC
This 470-nucleotide ribosomal RNA is filed under the name uncultured bacterium. RNAcentral's name for it is "bacterial SSU rRNA". It matches the Rfam family "Bacterial small subunit ribosomal RNA", at positions 34 to 518 of the family's 1533-position model. The record is from RNAcentral.